GUCCACGCCGUAAACGAUGAGCACUAGUUAUUGGGGGUAUUGACUCCCUCAGUGACGCAGCUAACGCAUUAAGUGCUCCGCCUGGGGAGUACGGUCGCAAGACUAAAACUCAAACAAAUUGACGGGGGCCCGCACAAGCGGUGGAUUAUGUGGUUUAAUUCGAAGCAACGCGCAGAACCUUACCUAGGCUUGAACUCCUACGAAUCCGGGGUAAUUCCUGGAGUGUCCGCAAGGAAAUGUAGUGAGAGGUGCUGCAUGGCUGUCGU
This 266-nucleotide ribosomal RNA is filed under the name uncultured bacterium. Its description in RNAcentral is "partial 16S ribosomal RNA". It matches the Rfam family "Bacterial small subunit ribosomal RNA", at positions 793 to 1055 of the family's 1533-position model. The record is from RNAcentral.